ACUAACGCUGGCGGCAGGCCUAACACAUGCAAGUCGAGCGCACUCUUCGGAGUGAGCGGCGGACGGGUUAGUAACGCGUGGGAACAUACCCUUCUCUACGGAAUAGCCUCGGGAAACUGAGAGUAAUACCGUAUACGCCCUUCGGGGGAAAGAUUUAUCGGAGAUGGAUUGGCCCGCGUUAGAUUAGAUAGUUGGUGGGGUAAUGGCCUACCAAGUCUACGAUCUAUAGCUGGUUUGAGAGGAUGAUCAGCAACACUGGGACUGAGACACGGCCCAGACUCCUACGGGAGGCAGCAGUGGGGAAUCUUAGACAAUGGGCGAAAGCCUGAUCUAGCCAUGCCGCGUGAGUGACGAAGGCCUUAGGGUCGUAAAGCUCUUUCGCCAGGGAUGAUAAUGACAGUACCUGGUAAAGAAACCCCGGCUAACUCCGUGCCAGCAGCCGCGGUAAUACGGAGGGGGUUAGCGUUGUUCGGAAUUACUGGGCGUAAAGCGUACGUAGGCGGAUUGGAAAGUAUGGGGUGAAAUCCCAGGGCUCAACCCUGGAACUGCCCUGUAAACUAUCAGUCUAGAGUUCGAGAGAGGUGAGUGGAAUUCCAAGUGUAGAGGUGAAAUUCGUAGAUAUUUGGAGGAACACCAGUGGCGAAGGCGGCUCACUGGCUCGAUACUGACGCUGAGGUACGAAAGUGUGGGGAGCAAACAGGAUUAGAUACCCUGGUAGUC
Molecule: ribosomal RNA, 720 nt
Filed under: bacterium w1cc12
Lineage: Bacteria
Description: bacterial SSU rRNA
Rfam family: Bacterial small subunit ribosomal RNA
Source: RNAcentral